RNAcentral lists this ribosomal RNA (749 nucleotides) under Inocybe subochracea. Its description in RNAcentral is "LSU rRNA". It matches the Rfam family "Eukaryotic large subunit ribosomal RNA", at positions 32 to 744 of the family's 3401-position model. The record is from RNAcentral. Lineage: Eukaryota; Fungi; Basidiomycota; Agaricomycetes; Agaricales; Inocybaceae.
ACUUAAGCAUAUCAAUAAGCGGAGGAAAAGAAACUAACGAGGAUUCCCCUAGUAACUGCGAGUGAAGCGGGAAAAGCUCAAAUUUGAAAUCUGGCGGUUCUUGACCGUCCGAGUUGUAAUCUAGAGAAGUGUUACCAGUGCUGGACCGUGUACAAGUCUUCUGGAAUGGAGCAUCACAGAGGGUGAGAAUCCCGUCUUUGACAUGGACUGCCAGUGCGACUUGAUGGUGCGCUCUCGAAGAGUCGAGUUGUUUGGGAAUGCAGCUCAAAAUGGGUGGUAAAUGCCAUCUAAAGCUAAAUAUUGGCGAGAGACCGAUAGCGAACAAGUACCGUGAGGGAAAGAUGAAAAGAACUUUGGAAAGAGAGUUAAACAGUACGUGAAAUUGCUGAAAGGGAAACGCUUGAAGUCAGUCGCGUCGGCUAGAAAUCAGCCAUUUGCUCUUGCUUGGUGUACUUUCUGGUCGGACGGGUCAGCAUCAAUUUUGACCGCUGGAUAAAGUCUUUUUGGGAACGUGGCAUUCUUUUUUGAAUGUGUUAUAGCCCAUGGUCGCAUACAGCGGUUGGGAUUGAGGAACUCAGCACCGCCGCAAGGCUCGGGUCAUUUUUUUGACCACGUUUUUCAAGUGCUUAGGAUGCUGGCAUAAUGGCUUUAAUCGACCCGUCUUGAAACACGGACCAAGGAGUCUAACAUGCCUGCGAGUGUUUGGGUGGAAAACCCAUGCGCGUAAUGAAAGUGAAAGUUGAGAUCCC